RNAcentral lists this ribosomal RNA (406 nucleotides) under uncultured bacterium. RNAcentral describes it as "bacterial SSU rRNA". It matches the Rfam family "Bacterial small subunit ribosomal RNA", at positions 110 to 507 of the family's 1533-position model. The record is from RNAcentral.
AUAGUACGGUAACCGUUACCUUUCAGGGUGGGGUAAGUAACGUAGACGAAAGUUACGCCAAUACCGCAUAUUCUGUGAGCAGGAAAGCAGGGGAUCGCAAGACCUUGCGCUGAUUGAGCGGCCGAUAUCAGAUUAGCUAGUUGGUGAGGUAAAGGCUCACCAAGGCGACGAUCUGUAGCGGGUCUGAGAGGAUGAUCCGCCACACUGGAACUGAGACACGGUCCAGACUCCUACGGGAGGCAGCAGUGGGGAAUUUUGGACAAUGGGCGCAAGCCUGAUCCAGCCAUGCCGCGUGAGUGAAGAAGGCCUUCGGGUUGUAAAGCUCUUUCGGCCGGGAAGAAAUCGCACAGGUUAAUACCCUGUGUGGAUGACGGUACCGGAAUAAGAAGCACCGGCUAACUACGUG